Molecule: ribosomal RNA, 494 nt
Filed under: uncultured bacterium
Lineage: Bacteria
Description: bacterial SSU rRNA
Rfam family: Bacterial small subunit ribosomal RNA
Source: RNAcentral
GACGAACGCUGGCGGCGUGGAUUAGGCAUGCAAGUCGAACGGUAGGAUACCUUCGGGUAUCUGAGAGUGGCGAACGGGUGAGUAACACGUAGGUGAUCUACCCUCAAGAUUGGGACAACCCAGGGAAACUUGGGCUAAUACCGGAUGAAAGCAGCAGUGAUGUUGUUUGAAAGGUGGCGUAAGCUGCCGUUUGGGGAUGAGCCUGCGCUCUAUUAGUUAGUUGGCGGGGUAAAGGCCCACCAAGGCGAUGAUAGAUAGGCGGCCUUAACGGGUGGUCGCCCACACUGGGAUUGAGAUACGGCCCAGACUCCUACGGGAGGCAGCAGUCGAGAAUAGUCUACAAUGGCCGAAAGGCUGAUAGUGCGACGCCGCGUGAACGAAGAAGCCCUUCGGGUGUAAAGUUCUUUUAUAUGUGAGCAGUGCUUUCUAUGUGAACAGCAUGGGGAGAGAGAUAUUAAGCAUAUGAAUAAGCAACGGCUAACUCCGUGCCAGCA